AGAGUUUUAAGUUAAAUUUAAACUAUGAGCCUUCAAAGCUCACUAUGGAGUAGCUCCAAACUCUA
Molecule: transfer RNA, 65 nt
Filed under: Cercopagis pengoi
Lineage: Eukaryota; Metazoa; Arthropoda; Branchiopoda; Diplostraca; Cercopagididae
Description: tRNA-Trp
Source: RNAcentral